This 1218-nucleotide small RNA is filed under the name Arabidopsis thaliana (thale cress). RNAcentral's name for it is "ATSL037020". The record is from RNAcentral. Lineage: Eukaryota; Viridiplantae; Streptophyta; Magnoliopsida; Brassicales; Brassicaceae.
ACUGCGUCUAAGCAAAUGUUUGUUGGUUAUAGCUUCUUUUGGGAGAAAAUGGGUAUAAGUGUUCUCUAAACACUCCUAAUCCAUCUCUUACUCUUAUAAUUAGUCAAAUGCAUUGGAUUGUGACACAUUUUGACCUUAGAAACACUAACAAAUCUAUUAACCGCUUCUAAGCAAGUUUUGUUGGUUUUAGCCUCUUUUGGGAGGAAAUGGGUUAUAAGUGUUAUCUAAACACUUCUUGUACAUCCCUAACUCUUAUAAUUAAUCAAUUGCAAAUUUUUGUUGGUUUUAGCCUCUUUUGGGACAAAAUGGGUAUAAGUGUUGUCUAAACACUCCUAAUCCAUCUCUAACUCUUAUAAUUAGUCGAAUGCAUUUGACUGUGAUACCUUUUGAACAUAAAUACACUAACAAGGCUAUUUACUGCGUCUAAGCAAAUGUUUGUUGGUUUAGCCUCUUUUGGGAUAAAAUAGGUACAAGUGUUGUCUAAACACUUCUAAUCCAUCUCUAACUCUUAUAAUUAGUCGAAUGCAUUGGAUUGUGAUACCUUUUAACCAUAAAAACACUAUCAAAGCUAUUUAGUUCUUCUAAGCAAUAUUUUGUUGGUUAUAGCUUCUUUUGAGAGUAAAUGGGUAUAAAUGUUGUCUAAACACUUCUAAUCCAUCGCUAGCUCUUAUAAUUAGUCAAAUGCAUUGGAUUGUGACACAUUUUGACCAUAGAAACACUAACAAAUCUAUUGAGUUGUCCUAAGCAAGUUUUGUUGGUUUUAACCUCUUCUGGGAGGAAAUUGGUAUAAGUGUUGUCUUAACACUUCUUAUCCAUCUCUAACUCUUAUAAUUAGUCAAUUGCAUUGGGUUGUGACACAUUUUGACCAUAGAAACACUAACAAAUCUACUGACUGCUUGUAAGCAAGUUUUGUUGGUUUUAGCCUCUUUUGGGAGAAAAUGGGUAUAAGUGUUUUCUAAACACUCCUAAUCCUUCUCUUACUCUUAUAAUUAGUCAAAUGCAUUGGAUUGUGACACAUUUUGACCAUAGAAACACUAACAAAUCUAUUGACUGCUUCUAAGCAUAUUUUUGUUGGUUUUAGCUUCUUUUGGGAUAAAAUGGGUAUAAGUGUUGUCUAAACACUCCUAAUCCAUCUCUAACUCUAUAAUUAGUCCAAUGCAUUGGAUUGUGAAAUAGUUUGACCAUAGAAACACUAACAAAUCUAUUGACUUCUUUUAA